CCUCUCUCUGGAUCACACCUGGAGAGUUUCCAGUAUUCAACCAGUCUUGAACAUGGGAGGGAGAGUCAAGCAGAGGCCUGUCCCUUCCAUUCCUAGCUUGGUCAGUGGCUAGCGAGUGGACGGCAAUCUGCUACAAGU
Molecule: small nucleolar RNA, 138 nt
Organism: Ornithorhynchus anatinus (platypus)
Lineage: Eukaryota; Metazoa; Chordata; Mammalia; Monotremata; Ornithorhynchidae
Source: RefSeq, a predicted model, not a curated record